RNAcentral lists this ribosomal RNA (483 nucleotides) under uncultured bacterium. RNAcentral's name for it is "bacterial SSU rRNA". It matches the Rfam family "Bacterial small subunit ribosomal RNA", at positions 28 to 524 of the family's 1533-position model. The record is from RNAcentral.
GAUGAACGCUGACAGAAUGCUUAACACAUGCAAGUCGAUUCGAUUUACCUUCGGGUAUUGAGGAUGGCGGACGGGUGAGUAACGCGUAAGGAACUUGCCUCUUGGACUGGGACAACUGUUGGAAACGACAGCUAAUACCGGAUAUUAUGAUUGGGUCGCAUGAUCUGGUUAUGAAAGCUAUAUGCGCUGUGAGAGAGCUUUGCGUCCCAUUAGUUAGUUGGUGAGGUAACGGCUCACCAAGACGGUGAUGGGUAGCCGGCCUGAGAGGGUGAACGGCCACAAGGGGACUGAGACACGGCCCUUACUCCUACGGGAGGCAGCAGUGGGGAAUAUUGGACAAUGGGCCACAAGCCUGAUCCAGCAAUUCUGUGUGCACGAUGAAGGUCUUCGGAUCGUAAAGUGCUUUCAGUUGGGGAAGAAGAAAGUGACGGUACCAACAGAAGAAGCGACGGGCUAAAAUACGUGCCAGCCGCCGCGGGUAAU